GUGAAACUCAAUUGACUUAUUGGUUUUGCAGCUGGAGCUGAUAUGGACUUUGGUGACACCGAUUUUUCGAAACUUAACAUGGGUGGUGGUGGGGAUUUCGAUGCCGAUUAUGCUGAGGACGAUGAAGGAAAUGAUGACAGUGACGCAGAAGAGGAGAAUAUGGAAGAAGUUCCCCGCAAAACCAAUACAGAAGAAGCUGAAAUUGCUAGCGGAGAACAUGAGACAAAAGCUUAAAGCUUAUGUGAAAUGUACUUCUGGUCUGUUUUGAACUAUUUCUGUCAUUAUUUUCCGACGUGAAGUUUUACUUGGUAGGAAUACUGGUGCCCAGUUGCCGAUAAAAAAAUAAAAAUAUUGGUGCUCAGUUUUUGUUGUGCGCGUUUCCUUUUGUUCAGUAUUGUGAGUACUGAUUGUGCCUUUUUAACUCUUGUUGACUUGCUGUUAAUUCUUCUCUCCAUCAUGAUAAGGUCAUGAUUUUAUUGGAACCUGUUGGAAUAUGUGGGAAUGA
Rhododendron vialii is the source of this 505-nucleotide long non-coding RNA. RefSeq lists it as uncharacterized. Lineage: Eukaryota; Viridiplantae; Streptophyta; Magnoliopsida; Ericales; Ericaceae. The transcript is spliced from 3 exons. The record is from RefSeq and is a predicted model, not a curated record.